AAGAUUUUAAUAGUCGAACAGACUAAAAAUAAUUAUUUCUUCAUAAAAAUUUUAUCUUAAUUCAACAUCGAGGUCGUAAUUAAUUUUUUCAAUGUGAUCUUUUUAAAAUUAUUACG
RNAcentral lists this ribosomal RNA (116 nucleotides) under Quadrastichus erythrinae. RNAcentral's name for it is "partial 16S ribosomal RNA". Lineage: Eukaryota; Metazoa; Arthropoda; Insecta; Hymenoptera; Eulophidae. The record is from RNAcentral.